RNAcentral lists this transfer RNA (72 nucleotides) under Ovis aries (sheep). It matches the Rfam family "tRNA". Rfam says of the family: Transfer RNA (tRNA) molecules are approximately 80 nucleotides in length. Their secondary structure includes four short double-helical elements and three loops (D, anti-codon, and T loops). Further hydrogen bonds mediate the characteristic L-shaped molecular structure. tRNAs have two regions of fundamental functional importance: the anti-codon, which is responsible for specific mRNA codon recognition, and the 3' end, to which the tRNAs corresponding amino acid is attached (by aminoacyl-tRNA synthetases). tRNAs cope with the degeneracy of the genetic code in two manners: having more than one tRNA (with a specific anti-codon) for a particular amino acid; and 'wobble' base-pairing, i.e. permitting non-standard base-pairing at the 3rd anti-codon position. Lineage: Eukaryota; Metazoa; Chordata; Mammalia; Artiodactyla; Bovidae. The record is from Rfam by way of RNAcentral.
UCCCUUGUAGCUCAGUUGGUAAAGAAUCUGACUGCAAUGCAGGAGACCCAGGUUCAAUUCCUGGAUUGGAAA